AAUAUUGGACAUUAGGCGAAAUCCUUUUCCAGCCAUUCCGCGUGUGUGAAUAAGGUCUUCGGAUUGUAAAGCACUUUAAGUUGGGUGGAAGGGCAGUAAGUUAAUACCUUGCUGUUUUGACGUUACCGACAGAUUAAGCACCGGCUAACUUCGUGCCAGCAGCCGCGGUAAUAUGAAGGGUGCAAGCGUUAAUCGGAAUUACUGGGAGUAAAGCGCGCGUAGGUGGUUUGUUAAGUUGGAAGUGAAAGCCCCGGGCUCAACCUGGGAACUGCUUUAAUAACUGCUGAGCUAGAGUACGGUAGAGGGUAGUGGAAUUUCCUGUGUAGCGGUGAAAUGCGUAGAUAUAGGAAGGAACACCAGGGGCGAAGGCGACUACCUGGACUGAUACUGACACUGAGGUGCGAAAGCGUGGGGAGCAAAC
Molecule: ribosomal RNA, 421 nt
Filed under: uncultured bacterium
Lineage: Bacteria
Description: partial 16S ribosomal RNA
Rfam family: Bacterial small subunit ribosomal RNA
Source: RNAcentral